Long non-coding RNA from Anopheles gambiae (African malaria mosquito), 967 nucleotides. RefSeq lists it as uncharacterized. The transcript has 3 exons. Lineage: Eukaryota; Metazoa; Arthropoda; Insecta; Diptera; Culicidae. The record is from RefSeq and is a predicted model, not a curated record.
AGGCAAACGAACGAUUUAUUGAUUCAACUAAAAGGCUAAAAAUACUUUCAACAGUAUUAAUUCUCAAAAAAUGUUACGUGAAAAGUAUUUUCCACACCUUUACCCUUAGCAGCAUACUGAUAAUAGGAUCAAGGGAGGUAUACAUUUGAAGUUUUUUUUACUAUAGUCCACUCGCAAAACGUAAAAUUUACAACAACCCCUGACGACGAACCGUCUGGCAACAAAUCCCUCCAGGCCAGUAAUUACUGCAUGGAAAAUUAAGCAACAAAUCCAUCUUUUCAUGCUGGACCUCUGCUGCUACUUCUGCUUCGCCGCUAUGCUGCACUAGUUUGCGAUCGGAGCUCCUUCAACUGCAGCUUACCAGUUGGAAGCGCUGUGUUGGAAGGGAAAUGCGAGCGUUAAGCCAACGGGCAAAAGGAAGGUGAGGCGGGGGAUGGAGAAACUCCACGCGUAAGGGAUGAACAAGAAAGGAAGUAAAGGACCGAUACAGCUGUCUCCGCUGAAUCGCAUCGAAGUAGUAUUGAAUCGUGGUGCAGAAGAUUUAUGAACGCCAUCAUUUUCUACGUUCAACCUUUUCAGCCAACACUCGUAACAAAGCAUCCUUUCCAGCUGGUGGGAUGCAUUUGGAGCAUUCUAAAAAUUUGCUACACCUUUUGAAAAUUUCGGCGAAAAUUGAACAGAAAACAUUUAUUCCAAUCAAAGGAAAAGUAAAGUUGGCUUUGCUUCAAUCGAGUUCAAAUGAGUGGACAACGCUUCAAGUAAGCAUUUGCUGGAGGUUUUUUUGGAAAUUUUACCUGUUGAGAGUAUAAACAAAUUGGAAGCCGUUGUUUCCGCGGAAAGGGGAGAAGUUAUGCGAGCAGUAGUGUGAAAGUUUUCACGGAUUACUUUUAUUUUGCUCCCUUGUAUCGUUCGAUUUGCCGGAAUAAAUCAAAUAGCAUGGAAACGGCUUUUGGUAUUAAACUGAAAA